RNAcentral lists this ribosomal RNA (818 nucleotides) under Capnodium gardeniarum. RNAcentral's name for it is "partial large subunit ribosomal RNA". It matches the Rfam family "Eukaryotic large subunit ribosomal RNA", at positions 77 to 919 of the family's 3401-position model. The record is from RNAcentral. Lineage: Eukaryota; Fungi; Ascomycota; Dothideomycetes; Capnodiales; Capnodiaceae.
GCCCUAGUAACGGCGAGUGAAGCGGCAAUAGCUCAGAUUUGAAAUCUGGCGUCUUCGGCGUCCGAGUUGUAAUCUGUAGAGGAUGCCUUUGGGUAGCCACCGGUCUAAGUCCCCUGGAACGGGGCGUCACAGAGGGUGAGAAUCCCGUAUGUGACCGGAAGGGCACCCUCCACAAGGCUCCUUCGACGAGUCGAGUUGUUUGGGAAUGCAGCUCUAAAUGGGAGGUAAAUUCCUUCUAAAGCUAAAUACCGGCCAGAGACCGAUAGCGCACAAGUAGAGUGAUCGAAAGAUGAAAAGCACUUUGGAAAGAGAGUUAAAAAGCACGUGAAAUUGUUGAAAGGGAAGCGCUUGCAACCAGACUUGUUGGCGGUGUUCCGCCGGUCUUCUGACCGGUCCACUCACCGUCUGCAGGCCAGCAUCAUCUGGGGCCGCCGGAUAAAAGCGAGGGGAAUGUGGCUCCCCCGGGAGUGUUAUAGCCCCUCGUGCAAUACGGCGAGCCUCGGGUGAGGUCCGCGCUUCGGCUAGGAUGCUGGCGUAAUGGUCGUAAGCGGCCCGUCUUGAAACACGGACCAAGGAGUCUAACAUCUAUGCGAGUGUUCGGGUGUCAAACCCCUACGCGUAAUGAAAGUGAACGGAGGUGGGAGCCUUAGGGUGCACCAUCGACCGAUCCUGAUGUCUUCGGAUGGAUUUGAGUAAGAGCAUAGCUGUUGGGACCCGAAAGAUGGUGAACUAUGCCUGGAUAGGGUGAAGCCAGAGGAAACUCUGGUGGAGGCUCGCAGCGGUUCUGACGUGCAAAUCGAUCGUCAAAUUUGGGUAUA